CCCGAACAAGUUUCAUCUUUAGCUACAUCCUUGUUUUGGCCUGGGACUACACGAGCGGGAUGAGACAGUGACGUUACAAAACCGGUGCCCGCUAGCUAACAACGGCAGGGAACGUCUCACAAACCGGAGCGACCAGGACUUCCUCAGAAAGUUUUCCUCUGAGCUGAGCCGGCUAAACACACCACCACCAGACCAGAGGAGGUCACAGGCCUGCAGGAGAGGCCCCAGUCUGGCUGGUGACAUAAACUGGCCCCUAUUAUUGUGCGUGUGUGUGUGUGUGUGUGUGUGUGUGUGAAGUAUAUUAAACCUUUUGAAACAAGUAAUUCAUCAUGGGUUUUAAUGGGGUCUGUUUAGCGGCAAAUAGUUGUUGGCACUGAACUUUCACAUUUAUAUGUCAACACAGGCUUGAUUAAGUUCUCUUAUCUGUAUUAAUAUUCAUAAAAAUACACAAAACAUGAAAUAUUUUACUUCAAAUACGUUUAACAAUUAAUUUUAGAUGCAUAAAUAGCUGUCUGUUCUGUCACGUGAAAAUCUAGUUGUAAAUUGUGUGUACAUAUAGUGCUGUUGAAUAAAUAACCACUGUUAGCCUUUGUGUUGACAUGACCUUCAAAACAAAAUUCAGGAACUUUGAUAUAACACCGACAUUCUGUAAAAAAUUAACGCCUUUGCCUUAUUUGUUCCCCACUGUAAAACAGUAUAUAACAAGCUCCUUCUCCUUCUGUGUGAAUGUCUUCAUUCAAGUGCAACAGGAUGUUUUAGAGAGAUUAGAUACGAUCAAGCUUGUGGGAAUGUGACUUAGUGAGGGAGUGAUGCUUAACAAUGAAAAUAACAGGUUUUAUACGUCCUUGUUAGCGUCACCACUUGCACUCACACUCCACUGUGUUUGAUAUGCAAAAAUAAAAUAAAAAUGAAGGAAUACAUGCUCUAAUGAUAUCCUCAUUAGAGAGUGUGUUACACAUCUUUUUUCCUCCCUGACAACAUUUUGGACAAAUUGAAUAAAUGGAUAAAUGCAAAUGGCUCAGAUGCACAUUUUGUUUAUUUUUUCUAGGAGGAUUAUCCAUAUACAGUCAAGCACUGUGAGGCCUCGGAGCUGUUAUGUCCUCAACACCAUCUCUGGUGAGUUUAAUGUCUACUGUACAAAAAAGGAGAAAAACAGAGAUCAGUAGUCUGCCUCAGCUACAUUAAGAACAGGAACACACACAAAACCAUUCAACCACCCACUGCAGACAUUCAAUAACAUGCUGAAUUUGGCAAUAAGAAAGCAUAUCUACUGAUCCUAUUUACUAGGAA
This is a long non-coding RNA of Lates calcarifer (barramundi perch), 1290 nucleotides long. RefSeq lists it as uncharacterized. The record is from RefSeq and is a predicted model, not a curated record. The transcript has 2 exons. NCBI's taxonomy places the organism in Eukaryota, Metazoa, Chordata, Actinopteri, Centropomidae.